Molecule: long non-coding RNA, 622 nt
Organism: Danio aesculapii
Lineage: Eukaryota; Metazoa; Chordata; Actinopteri; Cypriniformes; Danionidae
Exons: 3
Source: RefSeq, a predicted model, not a curated record
ACACUGAAGACAAACUUUCCCGGACAAAUGACGAAAGACAAACACAAACACAAAGGUGUGUGUAAAUGUAUGCUUAAUGUUAACCUGAGGGAAGAUGGAAAUUUGGAAUGAAUGACUGGAUGCGUGCGAGAUGACAAGGCCCUUCGUCACUAGCAGCGUACCGAGAGGAAAAGGAAGGGCAGGUGGAAGUGGUGAAGGAGGAGGUUCUGGCACUGGAUUCUCGUCUACAGAUGUACUGAACACCCUCUUGUUUGGGAGCCUCCAACUGAUUGCCUAAAAUUCUGUGGUCAAAGGGGAAACACAGCAUCAAAUGGUUUGGUCCUGAUCUGUUCCUUCAGCUCCAUCAAGAGAGUGUUUGGACACACUACAUUAGCACAGUACAGGUGCCUGAUAUUCCCCACCCUCCCCUGGAUGAUUCACAGGUGUACCUUAUCCAUGCACGUCUGACCUUUUUGAAUAUUAAACAAUAAUAAAAAUGCAGAAUAAGCUCCUCCCAGGAAAAGAAGACUCUUGGUCUGCAGCUUAUUUAAAGUUUAAAUAAGCCACAAUAAGCUUACUCAGACUGUAAAAGAUGCUGGGUUCCACACAAUUCAAGUGGAUUGAACAUAAAAUAAUUAAGUUG